UGUCUGGGAAACUGCCUGAUGGAGGGGGAUAACUACUGGAAACGGUAGCUAAUACCGCAUAACGUCGCAAGACCAAAGAGGGGGACCUUCGGGCCUCUUGCCAUCAGAUGUGCCCAGAUGGGAUUAGCUAGUAGGUGGGGUAAUGGCUCACCUAGGCGACGAUCCCUAGCUGGUCUGAGAGGAUGACCAGCCACACUGGAACUGAGACACGGUCCAGACUCCUACGGGAGGCAGCAGUGGGGAAUAUUGCACAAUGGGCGCAAGCCUGAUGCAGCCAUGCCGCGUGUGUGAAGAAGGCCUUCGGGUUGUAAAGCACUUUCAGCGAGGAGGAAGGUGGUGAGCUUAAUACGCUCAUCAAUUGACGUUACUCGCAGAAGAAGCACCGGCUAACUCCGUGCCAGCAGC
Molecule: ribosomal RNA, 405 nt
Filed under: Serratia marcescens
Lineage: Bacteria; Pseudomonadati; Pseudomonadota; Gammaproteobacteria; Enterobacterales; Yersiniaceae
Description: bacterial SSU rRNA
Rfam family: Bacterial small subunit ribosomal RNA
Source: RNAcentral